UGGUAUUAGGGUUCCUCCAUCAAGGUUGGU
This 30-nucleotide non-coding RNA is filed under the name Mus musculus (house mouse). The record is from RNAcentral. Lineage: Eukaryota; Metazoa; Chordata; Mammalia; Rodentia; Muridae.